UUCCCAACCACAGAAUCAGCCCAGGACCCACAGCACUCACUUGUCAAGCCUGCCUGGGGCCUACAUGGGUGCCAUGGGGGAGAUCCCCAAGGCUGUGACUGUACUGAGGCUCACAAUGGAGCCAGCACAUGCAGAGCAGCCAAGAGCCCCCCAAGAGCUGGGUCAUCUGUCGCUAUCUGCAGUCUGGGGUGGGUGAGGUCAUGGUGUGCUAGCCUGGCCUGGCAAGGGGACACUGAGGAGGCAAAACACGAUGGGGGAGCCUUGGAUAGGGGCGCAGGGCACGGACCAAAGGAGCUCCUGGGCUAGAGGGGGCAGAACAAUUUGGCUGCAGAAUGGGGCUCAAGGGAAGACCAACAGGAGAUAAAGCAGUGAAGGUCCGACCUAUCAUCUGUUGCUCUGGAGUCUAGAGAAGUCCCACUAUUUGUUCCAUAAAAUAUAACUCCUUAGAUUGACUACCCUUGCAACCUGUAACUGCCCCACCAGCCUUCAGGGACCCCCCCACACCUCACAGAAGUGGCAGCUCUCUCUUGGCCUCAGGAUACAUUCUUGUUCCGGCCUACAAAGAACCUUUCCUGAAGGGCCAGUUCAGAUGCAAACUGCUUCACCAGACCUUCUGGGAGCCUUUCUCCCCUCAUGACAACUGAACACUCUUCAUAUUCUAAAGGGCACCACUGGGUACGUUUGCCUCAGGCCCAGAUCUUGUUGCAUGAUCCGGGCUUUGCCCGGAACCUUCUUCCUAAGGCUGCACCUGUCUGAACCACUUCUUUCCCCAGCAAGGCUGCGAUCCCACCUGGGUGGCUACUUAACUGCUGCAGCUCUAGUCUGAAGGCCACAAGCAGGAGUCAUCAGCAGAUAUCAGGGAAGUGGUCAUAUCCUGACCUCCUGGGGGCAGAGAACUGGCCCCAUGCUAACUCCAGGUUUCCGGGCUUGGUUCCCAAGAGAUGUGGCCAUGACUGGGAAACUUACCUUGAGGUCCUUGUUAAGGCCGAUGACACAGGUAGGAGUGUAAGCCAGGGACAGGAAGUGA
Molecule: long non-coding RNA, 1027 nt
Organism: Sarcophilus harrisii (Tasmanian devil)
Lineage: Eukaryota; Metazoa; Chordata; Mammalia; Dasyuromorphia; Dasyuridae
Exons: 2
Source: RefSeq, a predicted model, not a curated record